CAAAAUUAUGCACAUGGGGCUAUUUGACAUCAGCUACAUAAAACGUCACUUGGAAAGCAAUAUCAUGAGCUUUUUUGGAUCUACUUGUGUCCAAAAUUUUGUUUCUGCAACUGAUUUCCAGUUAAAAUUUGGCUUUCCACUUGAGCAAAACUGGUCAAUUACCAAUCAAGACUGAAGACAGUGACCACCUUAUUUUCAUAUAAUUAUAAUAGGCUAUCAAAGUUCUAGCAUAAUUAUAACAGAGAAAUUUGCAAGCUAAGAAUAUAGUGUACAU
This 274-nucleotide unclassified non-coding RNA is filed under the name Hevea brasiliensis (rubber tree). The record is from RNAcentral. Lineage: Eukaryota; Viridiplantae; Streptophyta; Magnoliopsida; Malpighiales; Euphorbiaceae.